UGGGGAAUUUUGGACAAUGGACGCAAGUCUGAUCCAGCCAUGCCGCGUGCGGGAAGAAGGCCUUCGGGUUGUAAACCGCUUUUGUCAGGGAAGAAACGAGUUUCUCUAAUACCGAGACUUAAUGACGGUACCUGAAGAAUAAGCACCGGCUAACUACGUGCCAGCAGCCGCGGUAAUACGUAGGGUGCAAGCGUUAAUCGGAAUUACUGGGCGUAAAGCGUGCGCAGGCGGUUAUGCAAGACAGAUGUGAAAUCCCCGGGCUCAACCUGGGAACUGCAUUUGAAACUGGCAGGCUUGAGUCUUGUAGAGGGGGGUAGAAUUCCAGGUGUAGCGGUGAAAUGCGUAGAUAUGCGGAGGAACACCGAUGGCGAAGGCAGCCUCCUGGGCCAGUACUGACGCUCAUGCACGAAAGCGUGGGGAGCAAACA
Molecule: ribosomal RNA, 427 nt
Filed under: uncultured bacterium
Lineage: Bacteria
Description: bacterial SSU rRNA
Rfam family: Bacterial small subunit ribosomal RNA
Source: RNAcentral